RNAcentral lists this ribosomal RNA (938 nucleotides) under Elsinoe sp. Its description in RNAcentral is "LSU rRNA". It matches the Rfam family "Eukaryotic large subunit ribosomal RNA", at positions 22 to 979 of the family's 3401-position model. Lineage: Eukaryota; Fungi; Ascomycota; Dothideomycetes; Myriangiales; Elsinoaceae. The record is from RNAcentral.
GUACCCGCUGAACUUAAGCAUAUCAAUAAGCGGAGGAAAAGAAACCAACAGGGAUUGCCUCAGUAACGGCGAGUGAAGCGGCAACAGCUCAAAUUUGAAAUCUGGCGUCUUCGGCGUCCGAGUUGUAAUUUGUAGAGGAUGCUAUUGAGUUGUCACCGGUCUAAGUUCCUUGGAACAGGACGUCGCAGAGGGUGAGAAUCCCGUAUGUGACCGGCCAGACGCUCUCUGUAUAGCUCCUUCGACGAGUCGGGUUGUUUGGGAAUGCAGCCCUAAAUGGGAGGUAAAUUUCUUCUAAAGCUAAAUACCGGCCAGAGACCGAUAGCGCACAAGUAGAGUGAUCGAAAGAUGAAAAGCACUUUGGAAAGAGAGUUAAAAAGCACGUGAAAUUGUUGAAAGGGAAGCGCUUGCAAUCAGUCUCGACGGCGGCUGUUCGGCCUCUCUUCUGAGUGGUUUAUUCAGUCGCCGCCGGGCCAGCAUCAGUUCUGGCGGUCGGAUAAAGGCGUAGGGAAUGUAGCUCCUCUCGGGGAGUGUUAUAGCCCUGCGUGCAAUACGGCCUGCCGGGACUGAGGUCCGCGCUUCGGCUAGGAUGCUGGCGAAAUGGUUGUAAGCGGCCCGUCUUGAAACACGGACCAAGGAGUCUAACAUCUAUGCGAGUGUUUGGGUGUCAAACCCGUACGCGUAAUGAAAGUGAACGGAGGUGGGAACCGCAAGGUGCACCAUCGACCGAUCCUGAUGUCUUCGGAUGGAUUUGAGUAAGAGCAUAGCUGUUGGGACCCGAAAGAUGGUGAACUAUGCCUGAAUAGGGUGAAGCCAGAGGAAACUCUGGUGGAGGCUCGCAGCGGUUCUGACGUGCAAAUCGAUCGUCAAAUUUGGGUAUAGGGGCGAAAGACUAAUCGAACCAUCUAGUAGCUGGUUCCUGCCGAAGUUUCCCUCAGGAU